GAUGAAGAACGCAGCGAAAUGCGAUAAGUAGUGUGAAUUGCAGAAUUCAGUGAAUCAUCGAAUCUUUGAACGCACAUUGCGCCUCCUGGCAUUCCGGGAGGCAUGCCUGUUCGAGCGUCAUCAAACCCCAUCGUGCAAAUGAAUUAUUUUUUUUGCGCGGAAGUGACGAUUGAGCGAGAAUAACAAAUCCUCUCGCACCUCGUCGAAAUGAUUGCGGGCGGAAUUUGGGAUCGGGUUCCUCGGCGUAGUGUAUCAAUGCAUAUUUAUGCAACUUGCCGCGGAGUUGAGCCUGACCCACGCGUUCUCGCCGUACAAACACCUCAUUACUUUACAAGUUUUUGACCUCGGAUCAGGUAGGGAUACCCGCUGAACUUAAGCAUAUCAAUAGCGGAGGA
Molecule: unclassified non-coding RNA, 395 nt
Filed under: soil metagenome
Description: partial contains 5.8S ribosomal RNA, internal transcribed spacer 2, and large subunit ribosomal RNA
Rfam family: 5.8S ribosomal RNA (bases 1-120)
Source: RNAcentral